AAGUCGUAACAAGGUUUCCGUAGGUGAACCUGCGGAAGGAUCAUUAAUAAAUAAAUCUCGAUGGGCUUCUGUUUUGCCGGGAGGCCGGAAGCCCAUUAACCCCACCUCUGUGAACUGUCUACUGUAAUUCCUCCUCAUCUUGAAGAAUGGCCGGUCGGAAAAGGUGGCUCGCCGCCUGGUCCCCCGUGACGUUCUUUAACGUGGAGGGUAAAAUAUUUCUCACUUUGCACUUGGCGCUGAAGCUUUUAUUAAGCUGUUAGCUCAUGGGCUGUUAUUUCGCGGUCAUUCUAUUGAAAUCUCUUUUUUUAACUAAAGAGAGAAAAAAAAAUCUAAUAACAACUUUCAACAACGGAUCUCUUGGCUCCCA
Molecule: unclassified non-coding RNA, 367 nt
Filed under: fungal sp.
Lineage: Eukaryota; Fungi
Description: partial internal transcribed spacer region
Rfam family: Eukaryotic small subunit ribosomal RNA (bases 1-46)
Source: RNAcentral